Gopherus agassizii (Agassiz's desert tortoise) is the source of this 155-nucleotide small nuclear RNA. Its record names the gene U4. It matches the Rfam family "U4 spliceosomal RNA". From Rfam's summary of the family: U4 small nuclear RNA (U4 snRNA) is a component of the major U2-dependent spliceosome. The structure of U4 snRNA from yeast and human has been reported. U4 snRNA presents a k-turn RNA motif in the 5p-SL related to recognition of Snu13 protein. Lineage: Eukaryota; Metazoa; Chordata; Testudines; Testudinidae. The record is from Ensembl.
AUAAGAGUUCAGGGUGGCAGUAUCAUAACCAAUGAAGUUAAUCUGAGGUGUGAUUAUUGCUAGUUGAAAUCUUUUGACCUUUUUAGAGAUUAUGGUUCCUUAAAGGUGACAAAGGGGUGAAUGGUUUCACUAGAACCUCUGGUCUUAAUCUAUUA